AUUGAACGCUGGCGGCAUGCCUUACACAUGCAAGUCGAACGGCAGCGCGGGGCAACCUGGCGGCGAGUGGCGAACGGGUGAGUAAUAUAUCGGAACGUACCCUGGAGUGGGGAGUAACGUAGCGAAAGUUACGCUAAUACCGCAUACGAUCUAAGGAUGAAAGUGGGGGAGUCGCAAGACCUCAUGCUCCUGGAGCGGCCGAUAUCUGAUUAGCUAGNGGUGGGGUAAAGGCCUACCAAGGCAUCGAUCAGUAGCUGGUCUGAGAGGACGACCAGCCACACUGGAACUGAGACACGGUCCAGACUCCUACGGGAGGCAGCAGUGGGAAUUUUGGACAAUGGGCGCAAGCCUGAUCCAGCAAUGCCGCGUGAGUGAAGAA
This 379-nucleotide ribosomal RNA is filed under the name uncultured bacterium. Its description in RNAcentral is "bacterial SSU rRNA". It matches the Rfam family "Bacterial small subunit ribosomal RNA", at positions 30 to 412 of the family's 1533-position model. The record is from RNAcentral.